This 320-nucleotide long non-coding RNA is filed under the name Capsicum annuum. Its description in RNAcentral is "long non-coding RNA (CANN_LNC005035)". Lineage: Eukaryota; Viridiplantae; Streptophyta; Magnoliopsida; Solanales; Solanaceae. The record is from RNAcentral.
UUCUAUUUUUGAUUACAUGAUGUAAGUAUUUUAGUUGUAAAAGAAUGUGAAUUAUGAGAAUUGCUACUUUUUAGACUCCUAGGCUCAUGUUUUUGACACUUGUACUUGUGGCUUAAAAUUUGAAUUCAUGUUAUAUUGGGUUGAGAGUCUAUGAUGAUCCUAUGUGAGUUGAGCAUAUGCCAUGUGUGAUGUGAGAUUUUGUAUAUUCCUUGUUGCAUGUGACGUAUAGAACUUGCAUGAUGUGAGUAUAAAGAGAAAUUAGGAGUGUGGGUUUAGGAGAUGAUACAUGCAUUUCUUUGAUAACCUUGCUUUUACCUUCU